GACAGCGGCUGCUCAUGCACACUGUCCUCGAGUGUCACGUCUGUUUACGUCUGUGUCAUUUGUUGUUGUUGUUGUUGUUGUUUUUGAACUUUAAGACGGAACUUUAGUUUUAAUCGAGAACACGAACUCUUGACUUCCACAUCCAGAGCGGAGGAGCGCACUGACGUCUAAACUUACACCGAGUUUGAGUUCACAUUUCUGGACACGCUUCAUGCUGGAGCCUGAAGCUGACUUCCUGUAAGGCCGCUUCACAGAGACUUCCUUGUGGCAAAGCAGGAGAGUCCACCUUCCUCGCACUGGAAGCUGGAGGUUGAAAACAAGAAUGCCUCUAAGAUCUUCCAUUCCUGUGAUACUUCUUGCAAUAUGUUGCCUCGCAGCUGCAGGGCCUUUGUCUCGCAGCCCGUGUGAGCUGCUGCCAGUGGGGAUGACACACCCGGUGCAGGCCUCGCUGAAGAGCUUCACCGCCCUGUCAGGCUGCGCAAGCAGAGGCACCACCAGCCUCCCGCAGGAGGUCCACAUCAUCAACCUGAGGGGACACGCUGCGGAGGCACCAGACAGGAGCCCGGCA
This is a long non-coding RNA of Solea senegalensis (Senegalese sole), 568 nucleotides long. RefSeq lists it as uncharacterized. The transcript has 3 exons. Lineage: Eukaryota; Metazoa; Chordata; Actinopteri; Pleuronectiformes; Soleidae. The record is from RefSeq and is a predicted model, not a curated record.